UCAGUGGUGCCAAUACUUCCUUGAGUCC
Molecule: non-coding RNA, 28 nt
Filed under: Mus musculus (house mouse)
Lineage: Eukaryota; Metazoa; Chordata; Mammalia; Rodentia; Muridae
Source: RNAcentral